Microplitis mediator is the source of this 554-nucleotide long non-coding RNA. RefSeq lists it as uncharacterized. NCBI's taxonomy places the organism in Eukaryota, Metazoa, Arthropoda, Insecta, Hymenoptera, Braconidae. The transcript has 5 exons. The record is from RefSeq and is a predicted model, not a curated record.
UUGUUUUUUCUGCGUUUUGAAAAAAAUAUUUUAGACGUUAAACCGCAAGGUCUACUAGUUUUCGACGAUAUUGUUAUCAAGUCUAACAAUUAUCCUUAUCCACAUAAUGAGCUGAUAAAUAAUAAUCCUAGGAAUAUUAUUGGUUUGUUGUAACUUUGUGAUACGUUUAUGCAAUAAUUAUUUCAAUUAUAUAUAUACACACACAUACAAUUUUAAAUGACUAUAUAAAACCGUCAAGUUGGAGACUAAAAUUAUCAUUUUCAAACCGAAACUUACGCAGUAUACUGUAUCAUCAAAUAAUUCAGCAAUCAUGAAGAUUUUCCACUACUUAGUAUUUUUCGUCGUAAUGCUGACUAUUGGUUUCAAUGCAGGAGUAAAUGCUAGUCCAUCACAAAUUAAAAAACGUUCUCCUGAAGAACCAUGUCCAUUUCCAGAGUGCCAAGGAUAAGAUUCCUGAAUAGAAAAUCAAAGUUAUUACAAUUACCAUGUAUUAAAAAAUGUGAUUGUGAAAAAAAUUAUCUGAUGCAAUAAAUACAUGAAUUAUUAAAAAAAAA